AUCCAGCUGACGAUUCCCGAAUAGGACGAAACGCGAGUCCUGCAU
Molecule: non-coding RNA, 45 nt
Filed under: Schistosoma margrebowiei
Lineage: Eukaryota; Metazoa; Platyhelminthes; Trematoda; Strigeidida; Schistosomatidae
Source: RNAcentral